Molecule: long non-coding RNA, 537 nt
Filed under: Ananas comosus (pineapple)
Lineage: Eukaryota; Viridiplantae; Streptophyta; Magnoliopsida; Poales; Bromeliaceae
Description: long non-coding RNA (ACOM_LNC028693)
Source: RNAcentral
UUUCACACUACAACAAAAAACGGUCUAUAGCGACACUUUUAAAUAUAGGUACAUGUUAAAAAAGUGCUGCUAGCUAAAAUUACCGACACUUUUAAAAAGUGUUGCUAUAUGUGGAGUCGCUAGGUAUAUAGUGACAGUUAAAGAGUGUCGCUAUAACCUAAAAGAGUGCUGCUAAUUUACCAACACUUAUUUAAGCAUUUAGCAACCGCCGAAACUAUAUCUCGUUGGCUGCGGUGGCGGAGAAGGACGACAGUAAAGGCUCUUCAUCUAGAAUUUCAGUGGAUUGAGUGAAGAGAGAAGAAAAGAUGGUAAUUGAUUUUUCUUUUUUUUUCUUUUCUGUUUGUAAUCGGGCUAAAUGGACUGGGUGUGGUGGGUUGAGUAGCGUAAUUUUUUAUUUUUGGUUGGAUUGGGCUUUAUAUUAAGACAUUAGUAGAUGUGUUUUUAAGUUUUAGUAUAAAUGGGACACUUACUCAAAAGUGUCCCAAACAUGUGUCCCUAUAACUUAAUUCUGUUGUAGUGUCAUUAUAUGCUUUGUAC